This 374-nucleotide unclassified non-coding RNA is filed under the name soil metagenome. RNAcentral describes it as "partial contains internal transcribed spacer 2 and large subunit ribosomal RNA". The stretch from base 1 to 120 matches the Rfam family "5.8S ribosomal RNA", at positions 35 to 154 of the family's 154-position model. The record is from RNAcentral.
GAUGAAGAACGCAGUGAAAUACGAUAAUUAAUGUGAAUUGCAGAAUUCCGUAAAUCAUCGAGUCUUUGAAUGCACAUUGCGCCUCAUGGCAUUCCGUGAGGCAUGCCCAUCUCAGCGUUAGAAAAUAUUCUCAAAUUUUAGUUUUGUGCUAAAAUUUGGAUCAUGUCAAAGAAGCUAUUACUAUUAUUGUGAUCGCUCUUUGGAAAUUGAUAGGUCUUUGAGUUGCUACUCAUAGAACGUGAUGAAUCUUUCUUCGUUCUAUUGUAAUUCACUCUGGUAGUCCUAAAACUUGUAUGCCUGUGGCAUAUCUUGUAAUUUGACCUGAGAUUGGGUAGGGAUACCCGCUGAACUUAAGCAUAUCAAUAAGCGGAGGA